RNAcentral lists this long non-coding RNA (848 nucleotides) under Papio anubis (olive baboon). Its description in RNAcentral is "lncRNA (ENSPANG00000048977.1)". Lineage: Eukaryota; Metazoa; Chordata; Mammalia; Primates; Cercopithecidae. The record is from RNAcentral.
AUAUUAAGUGACCUGACAGAGAUCCCUCCUGAGUGCUUGGCAUCUCCUUUCCAUUUCUAUCUGUUCUACAGAAACUCCUUUGUUUUUUGACAAGAUUGGAAUGACACAGGUAGCUCAGUAGGAGUGAGAACUCAGGAAGGAACAAGAGUCAUGCCUGUUUUCCCAAUUCCUGCUGUCCAGCGUCCUUCUUCUUCUUUCUGGGAUACUCCCGACAUGUACUAAGAACCACCUCCAACCUUGUCAGAUGAGACUUUGCCAAUUUUUAUGCAAGAGUAAAAAUUCUAAGUUCCAUGAAAGCAGGCAUUGUGUGAAUUUCUCCUGCAUCUGGAACUGGCCUAGCACACCAACCAACAGAAUGCUGAAUGAGGAAAAAUGGAAAGCAUUCCCUCAGAGAACUGGAGCAAGACAAGGAUGCCCACUCUCACCACUCCUCUUCAACACAGUACUGGGAGUCCCAGCCAGAGCAAUCGGACAAGAGAAAGAAAUAAAGGGGGUCUAGAUCGGUAAGAAGAAGUCAAACUGUUGCUGUUUGCUGAUGAUAUGACUGUUUACUUAGAAAACCCUAAAGACUCCUCCAGAAAGCUCCUAGAACUGCCAAAAGGAUUCAGCGAAGUUUCUGGAUACAAAAUUAAGGUACACAAAUUAGUAGCUCUUUCAUACACCAACAGUGACCAUGCUGAGAAUCAAAUCAAGAACUCAACCUCUUUUACAACAGCUGCAAUAAAAUAAAACGAAACAAAAUAAAAUAAAAUAUUUAGGAAUAUACCUAACCAAGGAGGUGAAAGACAUCUACAAGGAAAACUACAAAACACUGCUGAAAGAAAUUAUAGACGACACAAACAAAUGGA